AACGAACGCUGGCGGCAUGCCUUACACAUGCAAGUCGAACGAGAUCUUCGGGUCUAGUGGCGCACGGGUGCGUAACGCGUGGGAAUCUGCCCUUUGGUGCGGUAUAACAGUGGGAAACGACUUCUAAUACCGGAUGAUGACGAAAGUCAAAAUAUUUAUCGCCAGAGGAUGAGCCCGCGUAGGAUUAGCUAGUUGGUGUGGUAAAGGCGCACCAAGGCGACGAUCCUUAGCUGGUCUGAGAGGAUGAUCAGCCACACUGGGACUGAGACACGGCCCAGACUCCCACGGGAGGCAGCAGUGGGGAAUAUUGGACAAUGGGCGAAAGCCUGAUCCAGCAAUGCCGCGUGAGUGAUGAAGGCCUUAGGGUUGUAAAGCUCUUUUACCCGGGAUGAUAAUGAUAGUACCGGGAGAAUAAGCUCCGGCUAACUCCGUGCCAGCAGCCGCCGCGG
This 449-nucleotide ribosomal RNA is filed under the name uncultured bacterium. RNAcentral's name for it is "partial 16S ribosomal RNA". It matches the Rfam family "Bacterial small subunit ribosomal RNA", at positions 29 to 523 of the family's 1533-position model. The record is from RNAcentral.